UAGUGGCCUACCAAGGCAAUGAUGGGUAGCCGGGUUGAGAGACCGACCGGCCAGAUUGGGACUGAGACAUGGCCCAGACUCCUACGGGAGGCAGCAGGUGGGGAAUCUUGCACAAUGGGCGAAAGCCUGAUGCAGCGACGCCGCGUGCGGGAUGAAGGCCUUCGGGUUGUAAACCGCUUUCAGCAGGGGACGAGGCCGCAAGGUGACGGUACCUGCAGAAGAAGCCCCGGGCUAACUACGUGCCCAGCAGCCGCGGGUAAAUA
Molecule: ribosomal RNA, 263 nt
Filed under: uncultured Atopobium sp.
Lineage: Bacteria; Bacillati; Actinomycetota; Coriobacteriia; Coriobacteriales; Atopobiaceae
Description: partial 16S ribosomal RNA
Rfam family: Bacterial small subunit ribosomal RNA
Source: RNAcentral